AGAGUUUGAUCCUGGCUCAGGACGAACGCUGGCGGCGUGCCUAAUACAUGCAAGUCGAGCGCAGGAAACCGUCUGAACCCUUCGGGGGGACGACGGUGGAAUGAGCGGCGGACGGGUGAGUAACACGUAAAGAACCUGCCCAUAGGUCUGGGAUAACCACGAGAAAUCGGGGCUAAUACCGGAUGUGUCAUCGGACCGCAUGGUCCGCUGAUGAAAGGCGCUUCGGCGUCGCCCAUGGAUGGCUUUGCGGUGCAUUAGCUAGUUGGUGGGGUAACGGCCCACCAAGGCGACGAUGCAUAGCCGACCUGAGAGGGUGAUCGGCCACACUGGGACUGAGACACGGCCCAGACUCCUACGGGAGGCAGCAGUAGGGAAUCUUCCACAAUGGACGAAAGUCUGAUGGAGCAACGCCGCGUGAACGAUGAAGGCUUUCGGGUCGUAAAGUUCUGUUGUAAGGGAAGAACAAGUGCCGCAGGCAAUGGCGGCACCUUGACGGUACCUUGCGAGAAAGCCACGGCUAACUACGUGCCAGCAGCCGCGGUAAUACGUAGGUGGCACGCGUUGUCCGGAAUUAUUGGGCGUAAAGCGCGCGCAGGCGGAUUGGUCAGUCUGUCUUAAAAGUUCGGGGCUUAACCCCGUGAUGGGAUGGAAACUGCCAAUCUAGAGUAUCGGAGAGGAAAGUGGAAUUCCUAGUGUAGCGG
RNAcentral lists this ribosomal RNA (701 nucleotides) under uncultured bacterium. Its description in RNAcentral is "bacterial SSU rRNA". It matches the Rfam family "Bacterial small subunit ribosomal RNA", at positions 8 to 681 of the family's 1533-position model. The record is from RNAcentral.